GAUGAACGCUAGCGGCAGGCUUAAUACAUGCAAGUCGUGGGGCAGCAUGAGUAGCAAUACUUGAUGGCGACCGGCAAACGGGUGAGGAACACGUACACAACCUUCCUUCAAGCGGGGAAUAGCCCAGAGAAAUUUGGAUUAAUACCCCAUAAUAUAUUUGAUAAGGCAUCUUAUUAAUAUUAAAGCUUCGGCACUUGAUGAUGGGUGUGCGGCUGAUUAGAUAGUUGGCGGGGUAACGGCCCACCAAGUCCACGAUCAGUAGCUGAUGUGAGAGCAUGAUCAGCCACACGGGCACUGAGACACGGGCCCGACUCCUACGGGAGGCAGCAGUAAGGAAUAUUGGACAAUGGACGAAAGUCUGAUCCAGCCAUGCCGCGUGAAGGAUUAAGGUCCUCUGGAUUGUAAACUUCUUUUAUAUGGGACGAGAAAAGGGCAUUCUUGUUCACUUGACGGUACCAUAUGAAUAAGCACCGGCUAAACUCCGUGCCAG
RNAcentral lists this ribosomal RNA (490 nucleotides) under uncultured bacterium. RNAcentral describes it as "bacterial SSU rRNA". It matches the Rfam family "Bacterial small subunit ribosomal RNA", at positions 28 to 511 of the family's 1533-position model. The record is from RNAcentral.